GACGAACGCUGGCGGCGUGCUUAACACAUGCAAGUCGAACGGAAAGGCCCUGCUUUUGUGGGGUGCUCUAGGUGCGAACGGGUGAGUAACACGUGAGUAACCUGCCCUUGACUUUGGGAUAACUUCAUGAAACUGGGGCUAAUACCGGAUAGGAUCUCCUGCUGCUGGGUGGGGGUUGGAAAGUUUCGGUGGUUGGGGGUGGACUCGCGGCUUAUCAGGUUGUUGGUGGGGUAGUGGAUUACCAAGGCUUGGACGCGUGGCCGGGCUGAGCGGGGGACCGGCUACACCGGGAUUGAAAUACGACCCAGACUCCUACGGGACGCAGCAGUGCGGAAUAUUGCACAAUGCGCGGAACCCUGAUGCAGUAAAGCAGUGUGCGGGAUGACGGCAAUCGGGUUGUAAACCGCUUCCGCCUGUCACGAAGUGUGAGUGACGGUAACGGGUAAAGAAGCACCGGCUAACUACGUG
RNAcentral lists this ribosomal RNA (468 nucleotides) under uncultured bacterium. RNAcentral describes it as "partial 16S ribosomal RNA". It matches the Rfam family "Bacterial small subunit ribosomal RNA", at positions 28 to 507 of the family's 1533-position model. The record is from RNAcentral.